UUGUGCAAUCAUACAUGUACCUAGGGUAAUGAUGUCUGUUUCAUUCCACUGUCUUUUCUACUUCCUUACCUCCUUCCCCCUUUGCCCCAUCCAAAGUUCCUCUACUCAUAUCACACACACAUUCCCAUUAUUGAUUAACAUCCACUUAUCAGAGAAAACAUUCAUCCCUUGGUUUUUUUAGGAUUGGCUUAUUUCACUUAGCAUGAUCUUCUCCAGCUCCAUCCAUUUACCUGUAAAUGCUGUAAUUUUAUUCUCCUAAAGUUGCUUUAUUUAAAUUGGCAUCUAUUAGAGUUUUAAAAGAUAAACUGCAAUUUUAAAAUAUGGCCAUUUUUCUUCAAGGUAGGAUGUAAUUAAUAUCAUCUAAUAUAAAUCUUGACACACUUGUACUGGGUGCUCCUCUUCUGAGAGUGUAUUUAUCACUUUACUGAUCUAAUUCUUCUAAUUUUAAUUUUCACUGCUUUAAAGUAGAUCCUCACCAUGUUGGGAUAGGGAUUAGGAGAUUAUUAGUAGUUAAAUUGCUAAAGGUUAAAUGUUUCCAUAUGUAGUCAUGAUAAAAUGUAUUUUUGCUUUCUGACUCUAGAAGUAUUCACAGAACCUGAAGAAUUACUUGUUCUCUGAUGGGUCUUUUCUGAUUCAACACAGAAAAGGAGAUGGAAAACUGAUGGAUUCCCCUGUGCUUGAAAGAUCAUACUGUAGUUUAUGGGGUCUGAAGUUUGAAGGAGUUCAGGACAAAGGGAAGAAAUUGACAGAACUUUCAUAAAACCAAAGACUGGCAGAAACAAAGUAAAUGAUGAUGAAACUGAGCAAUAGAUCACCCAGAAGGAGUAUGUCCUGCCCAAAUGAAUGUGGCAUUUCACCCUUCAAGAAAUAAAUGGAUACCCUGUCCCACAGAAGGCCAGGGCUCGCAUGUCAGCAUCACUCACUUC
Ictidomys tridecemlineatus (thirteen-lined ground squirrel) is the source of this 926-nucleotide non-coding RNA. NCBI's taxonomy places the organism in Eukaryota, Metazoa, Chordata, Mammalia, Rodentia, Sciuridae. The record is from RefSeq and is a predicted model, not a curated record.